This is a long non-coding RNA of Anguilla rostrata (American eel), 1575 nucleotides long. RefSeq lists it as uncharacterized. The record is from RefSeq and is a predicted model, not a curated record. NCBI's taxonomy places the organism in Eukaryota, Metazoa, Chordata, Actinopteri, Anguilliformes, Anguillidae. The transcript has 3 exons.
UACAUUGGUCACCGUGAAAUUGUUUGGGAAUUCUCAAACGGAUUGCAAAACAGUUUUCUUGUUAAACAGUUAAAUUGAUAACUAAUCGAGACUAUUCAUGGAAUCUAAACGAUUUUUUAAUUUAAAACAUUUUUGGGUUACCUGUUGUGUAAAAUACAACACACCUUCACCAGCUACACGUAUUUGGACAAAUGCCUGAGUUCCAUGCACAACGCAACUUCAGACAUCAGAGCAUUAAUGUCUGUAUUUUAAAAUAUAGUUUAGCUGGUGGAAUAGUUAUUUUUGUCUUCUUAAAAACCGUGGUGCUUUAGAUGCACAGAAAGAACAAGUGGAAAUCUAUGGAAAUAAAAGCCCUAUGGUACCCAGGUAGCCUAGCUACCUGAUGUUGCUCAUUAAACAUCUAGAAUACCGUCGGUGAAUCCACUGCACAUUACACUUGUUUCAUGAUGGACAGCAAUUUUCAGGAGGAUGCCAGCUGAAGAAAAUUAGCCCCUGCCAAAGACACGUCCACUGCUGAGACCGCCCAAUGGGAGCUCGCCUCGUUUAUCUCUGACAUCAGCAGCACUCGCUGGAUUGGACAGUCAAAUCAUAGAAUCGGCCGUGCGGCCCCACCCACCUGUCGACAGCGAUGGCGGUCAGCGUGAACACGGAGACGUACACGGUGACCGGCUGGAUGAGGAACACCAGGUAGCACAUGAAGCGGCCGAAGACCCAGCCGCGGGGGUUGAAGGCGUAGGCCAGGGUGAAGGGCACGCAGGUGGCGCACAUCAGCAUGUCGGAGAAGGCCAGGUUCCCGAUGAAGAAGUUGGUGACGUUGUGCAUCUUGCGGGUGUGGCAGAUGACAUAGAGCAGCAGGUAGUUGCCGAAGAUGGCCACCAGCACCACCAGGGCGUAGCAGGGGAUGAUGAGGGGCUUGUAGGACUGGAGGAGCUCCACGCCGGCAAACUGGGAGCUGCGGUUGGAGGAGCCGUUAUGCAGCGCUACCUCAAAGACCCGGCCACUGCCGUUCCCCUUGCCGCCCGCGCCGCACUGGGGCACAGGUCCCACAGGCCACCCACUGCCGCUGUCUUCCAUCCCAGCAGUUCAAGGCCACGUUUAAGCACCUGGUAGGCGAGUCUCCACAUUGAAGGAAAAAGGGGUAGAAAAUUAAUUGAACUGCAUCGUUGUCAUCGUCAUAAUUAUCAACAUGAUACGAUUGUCUCCAUCAUCGUAAUCAUCUUCACCAUCAUCAUAGCUAUGCAGAGGUGUUUUAACUCACUGUAAAAACCUUGCUGAAAUGGAACUUUGUCCAUGUGCUGUUCGUUCACAAUGGAGACUCGCCCGCUUCAAAAGAAAUAGCCACCCUGUUUAACAUGAAUACUGUGCUGAUGACGCUUCAAGCUACAUGUUCUGUGCCUAAGGACCUCCAAGCACAGCCAAGCCUGUGCCAGUAGCACACCAACCAUGUCUUUAUGAUGCUGGAAGCUCUGAUUGUAAUGGCCAUCUCCCUGAAAGGAGCCAUUAGCAGCGGGUUCGAGCCAGAGCUCCCACGUGCCGGUCUUUGUGUAUCUCCCGCUGACUCCAGCACAGAGAGGA